CUCCAUCUCGCUUUUCGUUUCUACAUCGAUUUGGUAUAUAGGAUCUUUAGCUUGAUUCUCGCUCUCGUUCUCUGCGAUUUCUAGGGUUUUUUCUUUGCAGCUCUCUAUUGCUUUCUUCAGAUAUAUUGCAAACAGCUCGGAAAAGGAAAGAAAAAGGCAUUGAAGGAAUAGUUUUUGACAGGUGCCUGCAUUUUCACGAUUGCUUCGGGAUCCGUAUUUUGAUUUCCCUUUUGGAUUAUAGCUCCAAAAAGAUCUGAAGGUUGAAGAGUUCUGAGGAAUCUGAGCUAAAAAGCAAACUUCUUUCUUAGACUUGGAACGUUUAUAAGCAUAAUUUUGUCAUCUCAGAUAUACAUGGUUGCUGAGGUGAUGACAACCUCCAGUGUUCAGGACUUCUGUGCUUGAUGGAGUGCUUUCCAACUAGCAGUGACAAGAAAACUUUGAAGAGGUGGUUUUUCAUUGAUAAAAGGGUUAGGUGAAGCGAUAUCUGAGAUUUCAUAUUGGUACCCUGUACCGCUUCACAUUUGCCAGGAUUGUAGGCUGGUAACAUAUACUUUAUUCGUCUGUCAUAAAUUGCUCUAUAAAUCUGGAUCAAAUGGACCUUAAAUCCAAUCGCACUGCUCCUGUACUCACUGACCCUGCACCCAUAAGCAAAUCAAGAUUGGGCGUGCAUUCCAGUCUGUUGCAAUACACUCCAGGUGCUGCUUUUUCGUCAAAUUUAUUUCUAACUAUCCCUAGGAAGAAAACCGGAGUACUAGAUGAUGUUCGCUCCAGUAGCUGGCUUGAUGCUAUGAAAUCCUCAUCCCCUUCUCACAAGAAAAUGACCAAAGAUUUCAAUAAUGAUUUUGCCUCUGCUGACACUGAUGUUGCCUAUCGCACCUGGACGCUUAAAUAUCCAUCAGCCCUUACAUCUUUUGAGCAAAUUGCAAACUUUGCAAAAGGCAAGAGAAUAGCAUUGUUUCUGGAUUACGAUGGGACUCUUUCACCAAUUGUUGACGACCCUGACUGUGCCUUCAUGUCUAAUGAUAUGCGUUCUGCUGUAAAGGAGGUGGCAAAAUGUUUCCCAACAGCAAUAAUUAGCGGAAGAAGCCGUGAUAAGGUAUACGAGUUUGUAGGACUAACAGAACUCUAUUAUGCGGGUAGUCACGGGAUGGACAUCAUGGGCCCUGUUAGACAAUAUGUAUCUGAUGAUCAGCCUAAUUAUAUGAGGUCUACUGACAAGCAGGGCAAGGAAGUUAAUUUGUUCCAACCAGCUAGUGAAUUUUUACCCAUGAUUGAUGAGGUUUAUAGUUCCCUUGUUGAUAGUACCAAAGACAUUAAAGGAGCAAAAGUUGAAAACAACAAGUUCUGUGUAUCUGUUCAUUACCGUAAUGUAGAUGAUAAGAGUUGGACAUCAGUUGCACAGUGUGUCUAUGAUGUCAUAAAAAACUAUCCACGCCUGCGAUUGACUCAUGGGAGGAAGGUUUUAGA
This 1467-nucleotide unclassified non-coding RNA is filed under the name Hevea brasiliensis (rubber tree). Lineage: Eukaryota; Viridiplantae; Streptophyta; Magnoliopsida; Malpighiales; Euphorbiaceae. The record is from RNAcentral.